GACGAACGCUGGCGGCGUGCUUAACACAUGCAAGUCGAACGGUAAGGCCCUUCGGGGUACACGAGUGGCGAACGGGUGAGUAACACGUGGGUGAUCUGCCCUGCACUUCGGGAUAAGCCUGGGAAACUGGGUCUAAUACCGGAUAGGACCACUGCCUGCAUGGGUGGUGGUGGAAAGCUUUUGCGGUGUGGGAUGGGCCCGCGGCCUAUCAGCUUGUUGGUGGGGUGAUGGCCUACCAAGGCGACGACGGGUAGCCGGCCUGAGAGGGCGACCGGCCACACUGGGACUGAGAUACGGCCCAGACUCCUACGGGAGGCAGCAGUGGGGAAUAUUGCACAAUGGGCGCAAGCCUGAUGCAGCGACGCCGCGUGAGGGAUGACGGCCUUCGGGUUGUAAACCUCUUUCAGCACCGACGAAGCGCAAGUGACGGUAGGUGCAGAAGAAGGACCGGCCAACUACGUGCCAGCAGCAGCCGCAG
RNAcentral lists this ribosomal RNA (478 nucleotides) under uncultured bacterium. RNAcentral's name for it is "partial 16S ribosomal RNA". It matches the Rfam family "Bacterial small subunit ribosomal RNA", at positions 28 to 523 of the family's 1533-position model. The record is from RNAcentral.